UACAGAGGUCCCAAGCGUUGUUCGGAUUCACUGGGCGUAAAGCGCGCGUAGGCGGCUCGACAAGUCGGCCGUGAAAUCUCCAGGCUCAACUUGGAGGGGUCGGGCGAGACUGUCGGGCUCGAGGUGGGCAGAGGGCAGUGGAAUUCCGGGUGUAGUGGUGGAAUGCGUAGAGAUCCGGAGGAACACCAGUGGCGAAGGCGGCUGCCUGGGCCUGGCCUGACGCUGAGGCGCGAAAGCGUGGGGAGCAAACAGG
RNAcentral lists this ribosomal RNA (253 nucleotides) under uncultured bacterium. RNAcentral's name for it is "partial 16S ribosomal RNA". It matches the Rfam family "Bacterial small subunit ribosomal RNA", at positions 524 to 776 of the family's 1533-position model. The record is from RNAcentral.